AACACUGUUAACCUGCGGUACCUGCGGAAGGAUCAUUAAAGAUUGACCGAAAGGUCUUAUCUCUAUAUCCCUCACCUCUGUGAACUGUGGACCUCCGGGUCUAUUUAACAAACAUCAGUGUAAUGAACGUAUAUAUCAUUAAACAAAACAAAACUUUUAACAAUGGAUCU
This 170-nucleotide unclassified non-coding RNA is filed under the name soil metagenome. RNAcentral describes it as "partial contains 5.8S ribosomal RNA, internal transcribed spacer 2, and large subunit ribosomal RNA". The record is from RNAcentral.